This 71-nucleotide transfer RNA is filed under the name archaeon. RNAcentral's name for it is "tRNA-Asp". It matches the Rfam family "tRNA". Rfam says of the family: Transfer RNA (tRNA) molecules are approximately 80 nucleotides in length. Their secondary structure includes four short double-helical elements and three loops (D, anti-codon, and T loops). Further hydrogen bonds mediate the characteristic L-shaped molecular structure. tRNAs have two regions of fundamental functional importance: the anti-codon, which is responsible for specific mRNA codon recognition, and the 3' end, to which the tRNAs corresponding amino acid is attached (by aminoacyl-tRNA synthetases). tRNAs cope with the degeneracy of the genetic code in two manners: having more than one tRNA (with a specific anti-codon) for a particular amino acid; and 'wobble' base-pairing, i.e. permitting non-standard base-pairing at the 3rd anti-codon position. The record is from RNAcentral. RNAcentral also lists the same sequence under 1 other name.
CUAGGGUAACUCAAUAGGUAGAGUGUCCGGCUGUCGACCGGACAGUUGCGUGUUCAAGUCCCGUCCCUUUU